Molecule: ribosomal RNA, 451 nt
Filed under: Rutpela maculata
Lineage: Eukaryota; Metazoa; Arthropoda; Insecta; Coleoptera; Cerambycidae
Description: Leptura maculata partial large subunit ribosomal RNA
Rfam family: Eukaryotic large subunit ribosomal RNA
Source: RNAcentral
AAGGAGUCUAGCAUGUGCGCGAGUCAUUGGGACAUCACGAAACCUAAAGGCGCAAUGAAAGUGAAGGUCCGCCUUGCGCGGACCGAGGGAGGAUGAGCGACUCCCGGGGCGUCUCGUUCUCAUUGCGAGAAGAGGCGCACCAAGAGCGUACACGCUGGGACCCGAAAGAUGGUGAACUAUGCCUGGUCAGGACGAAGUCAGGGGAAACCCUGAUGGAGGUCCGUAGCGAUUCUGACGUGCAAAUCGAUCGUCGGAACUGGGUAUAGGGGCGAAAGACUAAUCGAACCAUCUAGUAGCUGGUUCCCUCCGAAGUUUCCCUCAGGAUAGCUGGCGCUCGUCGCGCACGAGUUUCAUCCGGUAAAGCGAAUGAUUAGAGGCAUUGGGGUCGAAACGACCUCAACCUAUUCUCAAACUUUAAAUGGUGAGAUCUCCGGCUUGCUCGAAUCAGAGU